AUUAAGCAUAUCAAUAAGCGGAGGAAAAGAAACCAACCGGGAUUGCCUCAGUAACGGCGAGUGAAGCGGCAAAAGCUCAAAUUUGGAAUCUGGCGCCCUCGGCGUCCGAGUUGUAAUUUGAAGACUCUAUCUUGGGAGGCGGCGCUGUCGAAGUUCCUUGGAACAGGACGUCACAGAGGGUGAGAAUCCCGUGCGAUGGCAGCCGCGGACCAUGUAAGUUAGUGUCGACGAGUCGAGUUGUUUGGGAAUGCAGCUCUAAGUGGGUGGUAAACUCCAUCUAAAGCUAAAUAUUGGCGAGAGACCGAUAGCGAACAAGUACAGUGAUGGAAAGAUGAAAAGAACUUUGAAAAGAGAGUGAAAAAGUACGUGAAAUUGUUGAAAGGGAAGGGCUUGAGAUCAGACAUGCCUUCGGGCAGGCCAGCAUCAGCUGGAAGGGGCAGACAAGGGCGCCGCAAUGUGGCCUGGCUUCGGCGAGGUGUUAUAGGCGGCGUCGAUGUGUCCACUUCCGGCUGAGGACCGCGCUUCGGCAAGGAUGCUGGCGUAAUGAUCCCCAGCCGCCCGUU
This 563-nucleotide ribosomal RNA is filed under the name Isabelozyma rhagii. RNAcentral describes it as "Hyphopichia rhagii partial large subunit ribosomal RNA". It matches the Rfam family "Eukaryotic large subunit ribosomal RNA", at positions 33 to 653 of the family's 3401-position model. Lineage: Eukaryota; Fungi; Ascomycota; Pichiomycetes; Serinales; Metschnikowiaceae. The record is from RNAcentral.